RNAcentral lists this ribosomal RNA (486 nucleotides) under uncultured bacterium. RNAcentral's name for it is "partial 16S ribosomal RNA". It matches the Rfam family "Bacterial small subunit ribosomal RNA", at positions 30 to 507 of the family's 1533-position model. The record is from RNAcentral.
AUUGAACGCUGGCGGCAUGCCUUACACAUGCCAGUCGAACGGCAGCACGGGUGCUUGCACCUGGUGGCGAGUGGCGAACGGGUGAGUAAUACAUCGGAACAUGUCCUGUAGUGGGGGAUAGCCCGGCGAAAGCCGGAUUAAUACCGCAUACGAUCUACGGAUGACAGCGGGGGACCUUCGGGCCUCGCGCUAUAGGGUUGGCCGAUGGCUGAUUAGCUAGUUGGUGGGGUAAAGGCCUACCAAGGCGACGAUCAGUAGCUGGUCUGAGAGGACGACCAGCCACACUGGGACUGAGACACGGCCCAGACUCCUACGGGAGGCAGCAGUGGGGAAUUUUGGACAAUGGGCGAAAGCCUGAUCCAGCAAUGCCGCGUGUGUGAAGAAGGCCUUCGGGUUGUAAAGCACUUUUGUCCGGAAAGAAAUCCUUGGCUCUAAUACAGUCGGGGGAUGACGGUACCGGAAGAAUAAGCACCGGCUAACUACGUG